Teleopsis dalmanni is the source of this 341-nucleotide long non-coding RNA. RefSeq lists it as uncharacterized. The record is from RefSeq and is a predicted model, not a curated record. Lineage: Eukaryota; Metazoa; Arthropoda; Insecta; Diptera; Diopsidae. The transcript has 2 exons.
UAUGUAUUUUUAAAUAACUGGAUAUACUGGUAAAAAUAAAACAAAAACAUAUAAUUAAAAAAAAAACAAAAAAGAAGAGAGGAGCAUAUUGACCCACAAACUUUGUUGAGCGGUGUACAUUAUAUAUUUAUGAAGAUAUAUAGGCGGAUUACUGAGGGUAUUUUUUUUAAAUAAUAAACUUAAAAGGCAGAUGUGAUGAAAUUGUAUUAUUGUGUGCAAUAAAUUUUGUUGUUUGUUAUAUAUAAACAAUUUAAAGUUUAAAUUGUUUAAUAUAUAAAAACAUAUGAAAUUUUUGUGAUAAUAAUACCAAAGAAAGCUCUCAAAAACCUAUGGAACGUAAA